UCUCUCCCUCUCUCUCUGUGUAGUUUAAGUCAUCUCUCCUGUAUUCUGUUUUACUAUUCUCUCUCUCUCUCUCUCUCUCUCUCUCUCGCUCUGUGUAGUUUAAGUCAUCUCUCCUGUAUUCUGUUUUACUAUCUCUCUCUCCCUCUCUCUCUGUGUAGUUUAAGUCUUCUCUCCUGUAUUCUGUUUUACUAUCUCUCUCUCCCUCUCUCUCUGUAUUUUAAGUCAUCUCUCCUGUAUUCUGUUUUACUAUCUCUCUCUCCCUCUCUCUCUGUAGUUUAAGUCUUCUCUCCUGUAUUAUGUUUUCCUAUCUCUCUCUCUCUCUCUCUCUGUAGUUUUAAGUCUUCUCUCCUGUAUUAUGUUUUACUAUCUCUCUCUCUCUCUCUCCCUCUGUGUAGUUUAAGUCUUCUCUCCUGUAUUCUGUUUUACUAUCUCUCUCUCUCUCUCUCUCUGUAGUUUAAGUCUUCUCUCCUGUAUUCUGUUUUACUAUUCUCUCUCUCU
Molecule: long non-coding RNA, 498 nt
Organism: Oncorhynchus tshawytscha (Chinook salmon)
Lineage: Eukaryota; Metazoa; Chordata; Actinopteri; Salmoniformes; Salmonidae
Source: Ensembl